Molecule: transfer RNA, 75 nt
Filed under: Anaerolineales bacterium
Lineage: Bacteria; Bacillati; Chloroflexota; Anaerolineae; Anaerolineales
Description: tRNA-Lys
Rfam family: tRNA
About the family: Transfer RNA (tRNA) molecules are approximately 80 nucleotides in length. Their secondary structure includes four short double-helical elements and three loops (D, anti-codon, and T loops).
Source: RNAcentral
GGCUCCGUAGCUCAAUGGUAGAGCAGUGGACUUUUAAUCCAUUGGUUGAAGGUUCGAGUCCUUCCGGAGUCACCA